This 253-nucleotide ribosomal RNA is filed under the name uncultured bacterium. RNAcentral's name for it is "partial 16S ribosomal RNA". It matches the Rfam family "Bacterial small subunit ribosomal RNA", at positions 524 to 776 of the family's 1533-position model. The record is from RNAcentral.
GACGAGCCGUACGAACGUUAUUCGGAAUUACUGGGCUUAAAGGGUGCGUAGGCGGCGCAGUAAGUUGGGUGUGAAAUCCCUCGGCUUAACCGAGGAAUUGCGCCCAAAACUACUGUGCUCGAGGGAGAUAGAGGUGAGCGGAACUUAGGGUGGAGCGGUGAAAUGCGUUGAUAUCCUAAGGAACACCGGUGGCGAAAGCGGCUCACUGGAUCUCUUCUGACGCUGAGGCACGAAAGCUAGGGUAGCAAACGGG